Molecule: long non-coding RNA, 2196 nt
Organism: Mercenaria mercenaria
Lineage: Eukaryota; Metazoa; Mollusca; Bivalvia; Venerida; Veneridae
Exons: 2
Source: RefSeq, a predicted model, not a curated record
AAUUCAUGACACUGAUUAUUGAGUUUGCAAAUUAGCAUAUUUUGUGUACUGUUAUGCAUUUAUCUGCGUCUGAAGUUUCAGGCGGUGGUCUAGCUUAAGACUGUUACAGGAGUUCGGCUCAUGCCUAAGUCCAGGCCCUACCCUAUAAGAAAAACACAAGGGAAAGCAUUUCACCUAGAGCAAAGUUCUAUGUCCCUUUGGUUUUUCGCUUGCUGUAUUUUUUUCUAAAUAUAUACAGUGCUUUAGGGUAUAGCGGAUUUUAGGGUAUAGAGAAUAGAUUGAUAAAUUUUAUAUUUAGACUUGAAUUAUUGUAUAAAUUUUCAUAUCUUUCUUUUACUGGCAUACAAACAGACAUUCUGACAUACAUUUUAAAUAUUUGCUUGUGUUAUUUUUCAUAUGUCAUCAAAUGUAAAAUAAAGCUAUCCAUGUACAAAUUGUCAGUGAAUGAAAAGUAUUUGAUAGUAAUUUAAAAAGCUGAAUGUUUUUGAAAAGAGAAUACAUUAUUAUUCUGAUUCAUAUUAAAGAAAUCUUGGAAAGUUUGUUAAGAUGUGGAUUUUAAACUAAUAAUAGAAAAAAACGACCAAAGCUAUCCUGGUAGCAACCCCAGCUUAUCACUGAUAAGCCUCCAGAUUAACUGGAAAACUGCAGAAAUCUGAUCCCAGUCGUAAACUUUUUCAUGUAAAAUCAUCAAAUGAUAAUCAAUCAAAACAAGAUAUUCAUGUUUAAAAAGCUAAUAAAAUUAUCUACAAUUUGCAUAUUUUAUUUGUUAUUUUAUUGCCAUAUUAUCAGAUUUAUGAUCUUGUUAUCCAACAGAUCACGGUAAUUUACACCCGAUCUGAGAUAAACAGUAAACAUGCAGCGUUCGCGUGACACCAUGUGUCUUUGUUUCAAUAUGCCACUGGUUUAAUAGCUAUGAAUAUUAAUGAGUUAAAUUUAUCCAAUCAGAAAAAAGGUUUAUGAAUACAUUACAAUUUGAUGCAUAUUCGUACGAUACUUAUACGCAAAGAUAUAGUCCCCCAAAGUUGACCGUUUUUUUCUCAGAAAAUACGAAUUUUUCAGACAUGCACCAAUGCAAAAUAUACAUAAGUUUAAUUUGGUACCAAAAUCAUUUUUCGGAAACGCCAUUUACCCGGUCGCAUUUAUUUCUGAAAAUUGCAAUUUUCGGAAAAUCCAAAGGUCACGCACGUUUCAGGCCGACCGCCAUUUUGAAAUUUAUGAUAACACAACACCGAUACAAAAUAUCGUUAAAAAUCAAUAAAUCUGUUCAUUAAAAAAACAGGAAAACGAUUAAAAAUGAAAUGAAUGUUAAAUCAUAACAUUUGGUCAGCUAUGACAGAGAUAUACCUAGGCCCAUUUUGUGAUUGUGAUGCACACAGUACUAUCACAAAGUUAUAGACUGGACGUAUCAAGAAAACAAUCAAACCAUUAUUAAACAGCAUUAUGAUUGAAAUAAACCAUUUUGUCAAGACACCGGGGUUCAAAUAAAGUGAUUUGUUUAAUGUCUUUGUGCAUUCAAAUCAGUGUCAAUAAGACUGACAACUGGUACCCUGGCUUUGAGAAAGUUGUGAAUGAUUCUACAGCGGUUGUCAAGUUCAUGACUCACUGUUGUAAGCUGGCCACUGAGAGAAGAUAAGCAAGUUAUAAACAUUUAGUUCGUGAUUGGCCAGAAAUUGGUGCCAGACUGUAUAAAUGGGUUUAGAUGAUGGUGAACAUAAGCACUUACAUACGGUAUUCAGCCAGUUGAGCAGCGACUUUUUCCGUUAACGUUAACCACACUACCAGUAGAAGUUUAAUUCAAAACUGACAUUUUUCAUUUCACUUUUAAUUAGUCACUCUUGGGUCUAGUAAAUAUGUAUCAUAGUUUUUAUGAGCAACUUGAAAUGAAUAAAUGCAGGUGGAAAUAAUUCUUUAUCAAGAGUAAAACUAUUUAAAUUAAUGGUAGAUAAUUUUAGCAAGUCGUAGCAGUCUAAUAGUGAAAAAAUAUUCAACAGAAAAAUAUGAAAUCAAUAUUAUUUGAAAAUAUUAUAUUUUAUUUAUAAACUUGUUCUAUGUAUAAUAAAUAUAUCUACACUGUCUUGUUCUGUAGUAAUAUUUAAAUGAAUCUGUUACAGUGAUCAUGAAAAUGUAUGUGUAAGUGACAACUGAAAUUAUUUGAAAAUAAUGUAAAAACUUGAAAAAUAAAUUGCAUCAACCUGA